GAUGAACGCUGACAGAAUGCUUAACACAUGCGAGUCAACUUGAACUUCGGUUUGGGUGGCGGACGGGUGAGUAACGCGUACAGAACUUGCCUCACAGCUAGGGACAACAUUUGGAAACGAAUGCUAAUACCUGAUAUUAUGAUUUUAGGGCAUCCUAGAAUUAUGAAAGCUAUAUGCGCUGUGAGAGAGCUUUGCGUCCCAUUAGCUAGUUGGAGAGGUAACGGCUCACCAAGGCGAUGAUGGGUAGCCGGCCUGAGAGGGUGAACGGCCACAAGGGGACUGAGACACGGCCCUUACUCCUACGGGAGGCAGCAGUGGGGAAUAUUGGACAAUGGACCAAGAGUCUGAUCCAGCAAUUCUGUGUGCACGAUGAAGUUUUUCGGAAUGUAAAGUGCUUUCAGUUGGGAAGAAAAAAAUGACGGUACCAACAGAAGAAGUGACGGCUAAAUACGUG
Molecule: ribosomal RNA, 454 nt
Filed under: uncultured bacterium
Lineage: Bacteria
Description: partial 16S ribosomal RNA
Rfam family: Bacterial small subunit ribosomal RNA
Source: RNAcentral